Molecule: ribosomal RNA, 407 nt
Filed under: uncultured bacterium
Lineage: Bacteria
Description: partial 16S ribosomal RNA
Rfam family: Bacterial small subunit ribosomal RNA
Source: RNAcentral
AUUGAACGCUGGCGGCAGGCCUAACACAUGCAAGUCGAGCGGAGCGGCGGACGGGUGAGUAAUGCCUAGGAAUCUGCCUGGUAGUGGGGGAUAACGUUCGGAAACGGGCGCUUAUACCGCAUACUAUCAGAUGAGCCUAGGUCGGAUUAGCUAGUUGGUGUGGUAAAGGCCUACAAAGGCUACGAUCCGUAACUGGUCUGAGAGGAUGAUCAGUCACACUGUAGCUGAGACACGGGCCAGAUUCCUACGGGAGGCAGUAGUGGCGAAUAGUGGACAAUGGGCGCAAGCCUGAUCCAGCCAAUGCGCGUGUGUGAAGAAGGUCUUCGGAUUGUAAAGCACUUUAAGUUGGGAGGCGUUACCAACAGAAUAAGCACCGGCUAACUACGUGCCAGCAGCCGCGGUAAUUC